This 853-nucleotide ribosomal RNA is filed under the name uncultured Acidobacterium sp. Its description in RNAcentral is "bacterial SSU rRNA". It matches the Rfam family "Bacterial small subunit ribosomal RNA", at positions 49 to 943 of the family's 1533-position model. The record is from RNAcentral. Lineage: Bacteria; Pseudomonadati; Acidobacteriota; Terriglobia; Terriglobales; Acidobacteriaceae.
CUACCAUGCAGUCGACGAGAAGGGUAGCAAUACCUGAGUAAAGUGGCGCACGGGUGAGUAACACGUGACUAACCUACCUUUUAGUGGGGGAUAACCUAGGGAAACCUGGGCUAAUACCGCAUAAUACCUACGGGUCAAAGCAGCAAUGCGCUGAAUGAGGGGGUCGCGGCCGAUUAGCUAGUUGGCGGGGUAAUGGCCCACCAAGGCGAUGAUCGGUAUCCGGCCUGAGAGGGCGCACGGACACACUGGAACUGAAACACGGUCCAGACUCCUACGGGAGGCAGCAGUGGGGAAUUUUGCGCAAUGGGGGAAACCCUGACGCAGCAACGCCGCGUGGAGGAUGAAGUCCCUUGGGACGUAAACUCCUUUCGAUCGGGACGAUAAUGACGGUACCGGAAGAAGAAGCCCCGGCUAACUUCGUGCCAGCAGCCGCGGUAAUACGAGGGGGGCAAGCGUUGUUCGGAAUUAUUGGGCGUAAAGGGUGCGUAGGUGGUUCGGCAAGUCUUGUGUGAAAUCUUCAGGCUCAACUUGAAGUCUGCACAAGAAACUGCCGGGCUUGAGUAUGGGAGAGGUGAGUGGAAUUUCCGGUGUAGCGGUGAAAUGCGUAGAUAUCGGAAGGAACACCUGUGGCGAAAGCGGCUCACUGGACCAUUACUGACACUGAGGCACGAAAGCUAGGGGAGCAAACAGGAUUAGAUACCCUGGUAGUCCUAGCCCUAAACGAUGAUCGCUUGGUGUGGCGGGUAUCCAACCCUGCCGUGCCGUAGCUAACGCGUUAAGCGAUCCGCCUGGGGAGUACGGCGCAAGGCUGAAACUCAAGGAUUGACGGGCGCCGCACAAGCGUGAGCAUGUG